Molecule: long non-coding RNA, 475 nt
Organism: Mustela lutreola (European mink)
Lineage: Eukaryota; Metazoa; Chordata; Mammalia; Carnivora; Mustelidae
Exons: 3
Source: RefSeq, a predicted model, not a curated record
CUAAGAGGAGCAAGCAGAAGGGGACGGCAGGAACCAAGAAAUUUAAGGAGGGGAGAGCCAACUCAGAGAAGUGGCCAGAAAAAAGCCCGCUGAGCUUCUCUAAGAAAGCCGGAGACUCGUGUGUGUCCAGCAGAUAGACAGACGUUCCCCAUACGGAUGAAAACAAAUUAUUUGUCAUUCUGAAAUGACUCUGAAAGGGGGAAUGGAAUGUGCCCCAACAAUCAAUAUUAAAUUUUAUGCCUGCUGCACCUUUCAAAAGCCUCAAGAAGACAUUGAUUCAAUUUGCUGGAAGCAUGGAAGCCCAAAGUAGACUGCCCAGAGAAGAUGCUGCCAGAAAAUAAAGGGGAACCCCAGGCUGCAGGACGGCUCCGGCGGGGUCCUCAUAUUGAAGAAAUGAAAAAAAGAAGAAGAAGAAGAAGAAGAAGAAGAAGAAGAAAUGACAGGAAAGCUACAUUUAUUCUGGAGAGAGAUAGUU